This is a non-coding RNA of Pelobates cultripes (western spadefoot toad), 400 nucleotides long. The record is from the annotation of a GenBank genome assembly. NCBI's taxonomy places the organism in Eukaryota, Metazoa, Chordata, Amphibia, Anura, Pelobatidae.
CACCAGUCAAGCACAGUUCUACAAUCAAGGAGCUGAUGGAUGCCCUCCUACUCCCAGAAGGAGUGGCUAUUUUGAAGAUAAAAGCACAUGGGAAGUUGGACUCAGAUGAAGCAAAGGGCAACCAUCUAGCUGAUCAGGCUGCAAACCAAGCUGCAAGAGAACCACAGGAAGUGGAAAGAAGAGUGUCCAGAAAUGAAGAAACUCCCAUAUUUACUCUGCAGACUCUUCCAACUGACCUGAAAAUCCUACGGGAACAACAGGCUACAGUUGCCCCUGAAGAAAUACAGAAGUGGAAACAGAAAGGGGCAGUUCUAAGAGAUGGAGUGUAUUACAACAAUCUCAGAUUCUGCCUUCCUAAGAAUCUAUACCCAGCAGUUGUUCAGUGGGCACAUGGCCCUGC